Molecule: ribosomal RNA, 254 nt
Filed under: uncultured bacterium
Lineage: Bacteria
Description: partial 16S ribosomal RNA
Rfam family: Bacterial small subunit ribosomal RNA
Source: RNAcentral
UACGUAGGCAGCAAGCGUUGUUCGGAGUUACUGGGCGUAAAGGGUGUGUAGGCGGUUGUUUUAAGUUUGGUGUGAAAUCUCCCGGCUCAACUGGGAGGGUGCGCCGAAUACUGAAUGACUAGAGUGCGGGAGAGGAAAGUGGAAUUCCUGGUGUAGCGGUGAAAUGCGUAGAUAUCAGGAGGAACACCGGUGGUGUAGACGGCUUUCUGGACCGUAACUGACGCUGAGGAGCGAAAGCGUGGGGAGCGAACAGG